Long non-coding RNA from Folsomia candida, 956 nucleotides. RefSeq lists it as uncharacterized. The transcript is spliced from 3 exons. Lineage: Eukaryota; Metazoa; Arthropoda; Collembola; Entomobryomorpha; Isotomidae. The record is from RefSeq and is a predicted model, not a curated record.
UCCAGUAAAGUGCUGAGAAUAUAGCUUAAAGUUUGACAUCAGUUCACUUACAGAAAUAUUAAUUGCAUCAAAUAUAAAUUAAUUUUCUGAGUGGCGUAAAGUUAAGUGGAAACGUUAAAUAAGGAAAAAAUACUUUCUGUUUUCUUACAAAAUUGGAGCAGAAAUGUCGCAAUUUAAAUACGAAAAUCCGUCUUAUUCUAAUUACACUAUUGGGUCACUCAUAUCCACCUAAAUUCCUGGGUACAAAAUUUGCUAGAACUUUUCAACAAUCUUAUUCUCUCGAGCUUCAACAGAUCCAUGACUGGCCCAUUCCCCCAACCGGAAAUUUACACACUGAAAAAGGCAGGAAAUGACUUCAACAGCGCAUCACUUUAGUUAUGGACUACCCUCCGUGAAGACCUCCAAUUCAUAAUUCGCAUCGUCCUCCUGUAACAAGUAAUGUAUCAUCUUCUAAUUCGAGUUAAAUAGGUUUAUCCACCUCAAAAAUAGAAAUUUGCAGGGAUCUCUUUAUCCCAAAAAUUAGGGAUGACGACUUACAUAAAUUACAGAAUGAGCUUUUAAUUAUGACAAUUUUUCUAAGGUAUUUGCAAUUUUCCUGCGAAAUCUUGAUACCUAAUUAAAUUAGAUAUAAGUUUACAUAUGUAUAUCUCGUCCAACUUCUGCAGCCAAAGUAGCAACCCAAACGCACCUGAAAGUAUUAACAUUAAUUAUGUGAUCAGAUUUUGCUAAAUUUUUAAAUCGAUUCGUUAAAUGGGCUAGAAUUAGCAAAAUCUCAUGAUCGUGCGAUUUUUACCUACACAAAUACACAGAAACUUCGCCAAAACAAACAUUCAAAACGUUAUAAUUUUCUCCGAAAAGAACAUUAAGUCGAAAGUAAUAUGAAAUGCAUGAACUUAGGAGGAGAGCUUCACCACCUGCCCUUCACAGAUCUUGAUGUCCUUCGCAUAUGUGAUAGG